GUCUAUGGCCAUACCACCCUGAACGCGCCCGAUCUCGUCUGAUCUCGGAAGCUAAGCAGGGUCGGGCCCGGUUAGUACUUGGAUGGGAGAAUCAGACACAACUUUCU
Molecule: ribosomal RNA, 107 nt
Filed under: Ovis aries (sheep)
Lineage: Eukaryota; Metazoa; Chordata; Mammalia; Artiodactyla; Bovidae
Source: RNAcentral